GGGGGCUCAGUGGUAGAGUGCUUGCUUUGCAUGCAUGAGGUCCUGGGUUCGAUUCCUCAGCACCA
RNAcentral lists this transfer RNA (65 nucleotides) under Dipodomys ordii (Ord's kangaroo rat). It matches the Rfam family "tRNA". From Rfam's summary of the family: Transfer RNA (tRNA) molecules are approximately 80 nucleotides in length. Lineage: Eukaryota; Metazoa; Chordata; Mammalia; Rodentia; Heteromyidae. The record is from Rfam by way of RNAcentral.